CCCUACGGGGUGCCCUUGAUGUGAUUGAAAAGUACGGUUUACAGGAUAAAAUUCCGGAUACCAUAUCUGAAAUAUUAAUAAAAGGUUCAGAAGGAGAAAUCAGAGAAACGCCUAAAAAAGGGGAUCCGGUAUUUGAAAGGGUAGAAAACAUCAUUAUCGGAAGCAAUAAAAUAGCCCUAGAAGCUGCCGCCAGGAGGGCCACCCAAUUGGGUUUCGAAGCAAUCGUCUGGUCAUCUGAAAUUCAGGGUGAAGCCCAGAACGUGGCGCGAUGGCUGGCGCAAAAAGCCAUAGAUAUCAGGAAACGAAAAGCGGAUGGUAAAAAAAUUUGUUUGAUGUCAGGCGGGGAGACAACGGUAACCGUGCGUGGAACUGGAAUUGGCGGGAGGGC
Molecule: ribosomal RNA, 388 nt
Filed under: uncultured prokaryote
Description: partial 16S ribosomal RNA
Source: RNAcentral